UUGUACUUCGGUACAGCUAGUGGCGGACGGGUGAGUAAUACAUAGGAAUCUACCCGAGAGUGGGGGAUAACCCAGGGAAACUUGGAUUAAUACCGCAUGAUCUCUACGGAGCAAAGCUGGGGACCUUCGGGCCUGGCGCUUUUGGAGGAGCCUAUGUCUGAUUAGCUUGUUGGUGAGGUAACGGCUCACCAAGGCGACGAUCAGUAACUGGUCUGAGAGGACGACCAGUCACACCGGAACUGAGACACGGUCCGGACUCCUACGGGAGGCAGCAGUGGGGAAUAUUGGACAAUGGGCGAAAGCCUGAUCCAGCAAUGCCGCGUGUGUGAAGAAGGCCUUCGGGUUGUAAAGCACUUUAGGAUGGAAAGAAAAAACUUGACCUAAUACGUUAAGUCUUGACGGUACCAUCAGAAUAAGCACCGGCUAACUCUGUGCCAGCAGCCGCGGUAAUACAGAGGGUGCAAGCGUUAAUCGGAUUUACUGGGCGUAAAGCGUGUGUAGGUGGUGGCGUAAGUCGAUUGUGAAAUCCCCGGGCUCAACCUGGGAACUGCUUUCGAUACUGCGUGACUAGAGUACGGUAGAGGGUGGUGGAAUUUCCGGUGUAGCGGUGAAAUGCGUAGAUAUCGGAAGGAACAUCAAUGGCGAAGGCAACCACCUGGGCCUGUACUGACACUGAGACACGAAAGCGUGGGGAUCAAACAGGAUUAGAUACCCUGGUAGUCCACGCCGUAAACGAUGACAACUUGACGUUGGUUUGCUUAGCGAAUCAGUGUCGUAGCUAACGCGAUAAGUUGUCCGCCUGGGGAGUACGGCCGCAAGGUUGAAACUCAAAGGAAUUGACGGGGGCCCGCACAAGCGGUGGAGUAUGUGGUUUAAUUCGAUGCAACGCGAAGAACCUUACCUGGCCUUGACAUGUCCGGAAUCCUGCAGAGAUGCGGGAGUGCCUUCGGGAAUCGGAACACAGGUGCUGCAUGGCUGUCGUCAGCUCGUGUCGUGAAAUGUUGGGUUAAGUCCCGCAAC
Molecule: ribosomal RNA, 1020 nt
Filed under: bacterium
Lineage: Bacteria
Description: bacterial SSU rRNA
Rfam family: Bacterial small subunit ribosomal RNA
Source: RNAcentral